Molecule: ribosomal RNA, 481 nt
Filed under: uncultured bacterium
Lineage: Bacteria
Description: partial 16S ribosomal RNA
Rfam family: Bacterial small subunit ribosomal RNA
Source: RNAcentral
GAUGAACGCUGGCGGCGUGCCUAACACAUGCAAGUCGAGCGAAGCACUUACUUUAGAUUUCUUCGGAAUGACGAAGUUUGUGACUGAGCGGCGGACGGGUGAGUAACGCGUGGGCAACCUGCUCUGUAUAGGGGGAUAACAGUUAGAAAUGUCUGCUAAUACCGCAUAAGCUCACAGCUUCGCAUGAAGCAGUGGGAAAAACUCCGGUGGUACAGGAUGGGCCCGCGUCUGAUUAGCUAGUUGGUAAGGUAACGGCUUACAAAGGCGACGAUCAGUAGCCGACCUGUGAGAGUGACCGGCCACAUUGAGACUGAGACACGGCCCAAGCUGCGACGAGAGGCAGCAGUGGGGAAUAUUGCACAAUGGGGGAAACCCGGAUGCAGCGACGCCGCGUGAUCGAUGAAGUAUUUCGGUAUGUAAAGCUCUAUCGGCAGGGAGGAAAGUGACGGUACCUGACGAAGAAGCCCCGGCUAACUACGUG